GCUGGGCGUGGUGGCUCACGCCUGUAAUCCCAGCACUUUAGGAGGCCGAGGUGGGCGGAUCACCUGAGGUCAGGAGUUUGAGACCAGCCUGACCAACAUGGAGAAACCCCGUCUCUA
Molecule: unclassified non-coding RNA, 117 nt
Organism: Macaca mulatta (Rhesus monkey)
Lineage: Eukaryota; Metazoa; Chordata; Mammalia; Primates; Cercopithecidae
Rfam family: Metazoan signal recognition particle RNA
About the family: The signal recognition particle (SRP) is a universally conserved ribonucleoprotein.
Source: Ensembl